UAAUAAGUGUUUUAUGGCACUUUUUAAAUCCAUAUCCACCUUGUGUGCAAUGUCGGUCGAUUUCUUUUUCAUGAGGAUCGACCAAACAUCAACCUUUAUCUUUUAACUCUUUGUCUGAAAAAUAUUAUGAAUAAACAAUUCAAAAUA
This 147-nucleotide unclassified non-coding RNA is filed under the name soil metagenome. RNAcentral's name for it is "partial internal transcribed spacer 1". The record is from RNAcentral.